Molecule: transfer RNA, 74 nt
Filed under: Trichonephila inaurata madagascariensis
Lineage: Eukaryota; Metazoa; Arthropoda; Arachnida; Araneae; Nephilidae
Rfam family: tRNA
About the family: Transfer RNA (tRNA) molecules are approximately 80 nucleotides in length. Their secondary structure includes four short double-helical elements and three loops (D, anti-codon, and T loops).
Source: Rfam by way of RNAcentral
GUCCCUGUAGCGCAAUGAAUAGCGCGUUGGACUUCUAAUUCAAAGGUCGUGGAGUUCGAAUCCCUCCUGGGAUG